GACGGAGGAUGCAAGCGUUAUCCGGAAUGAUUGGGCGUAAAGCGUCCGCAGGUGGCAGUGCAAGUCUGCUGUCAAAGACCGGGGCUUAACUUCGGAAAGGCAGUGGAAACUGAACAGCUAGAGUAUGGUAGGGGCAGAGGGAAUUCCUGGUGUAGCGGUGAAAUGCGUAGAGAUCAGGAAGAACAUCGGUGGCGAAGGCGCUCUGCUGGACCAUAACUGACACUCAGGGACGAAAGCUAGGGGAGCGAAUGGG
This 253-nucleotide ribosomal RNA is filed under the name uncultured bacterium. RNAcentral's name for it is "partial 16S ribosomal RNA". It matches the Rfam family "Bacterial small subunit ribosomal RNA", at positions 524 to 776 of the family's 1533-position model. The record is from RNAcentral.